This 421-nucleotide ribosomal RNA is filed under the name uncultured bacterium. RNAcentral's name for it is "bacterial SSU rRNA". It matches the Rfam family "Bacterial small subunit ribosomal RNA", at positions 355 to 773 of the family's 1533-position model. The record is from RNAcentral.
UGAGGAAUAUUGGUCAAUGGGGGCAACCCUGAACCAGCCAAGUCGCGUGAAGGAUGAAGGUCUUAUGGAUUGUAAACUUCUUUUAUACAGGAAUAAAUUGGGGGACGUGUCCCCUUUUGCAUGUACUGUAUGAAUAAGGAUCGGCUAACUCCGUGCCAGCAGCCGCGGUAAUACGGAGGAUCCGAGCGUUAUCCGGAUUUAUUGGGUCUAAAGGGUGCGCAGGCGGGAUGUUAAGUCGGCGGUGAAAUUUUGCAGCUCAACUGUAAAAGUGCCUUCGAUACUGGCCUCCUUGAGUGUGGAUGAAGUAGGCGGAAUUUGUGGUGUAGCGGUGAAAUGCUUAGAUAUCACGAGGAACUCCGAUUGCGCAGGCAGCUUACUAAGCCACAACUGACGCUCAUGCACGAAGGCGUGGGGAUCAAAC